UUAGGUGAUUAUAGCGGCGGGGCACCACCUCUUCCCAUUCCGAACAGAGAAGUUAAGCCCGCCUGCGCCGAUGGUACUGCUACGGUGGGAGAGUAGGACGUCGCCUCAC
RNAcentral lists this ribosomal RNA (109 nucleotides) under Bacteroidales bacterium 6E. Lineage: Bacteria; Pseudomonadati; Bacteroidota; Bacteroidia; Bacteroidales. The record is from RNAcentral.